UGGGGAAUAUUGGACAAUGGGGGAAACCCUGAUCCAGCAAUGCCGCGUGAAUGAAGAAGGCCUUAGGGUUGUAAAGUUCUUUCACCUGUGAAGAUAAUGACGGUAGCAGGAGAAGAAGCCCCGGCUAACUCCGUGCCAGCAGCCGCGGUAAGACGGAGGGGGCUAGCGUUGUUCGGAAUGCCUGGGCGUAAAGGGCGCGUAGGCGGCUAUUUAAGUGAGGCGUGAAAGCCCUGGGCUUAACCCAGGAGGUGCGUUUCAUACUGGAUGGCUUGAGUACGAGAGAGGAAAGCGGAAUUCCUAGUGUAGAGGUGAAAUUCGUAGAUAUUAGGAAGAACACCAGUGGCGAAGGCGGCUUUCUGGCUCGUAACUGACGCUGAGGCGCGAAAGCGUGGGGAGCAAA
Molecule: ribosomal RNA, 400 nt
Filed under: uncultured bacterium
Lineage: Bacteria
Description: bacterial SSU rRNA
Rfam family: Bacterial small subunit ribosomal RNA
Source: RNAcentral